This is a non-coding RNA of Saimiri boliviensis boliviensis (Bolivian squirrel monkey), 502 nucleotides long. The record is from RefSeq and is a predicted model, not a curated record. Lineage: Eukaryota; Metazoa; Chordata; Mammalia; Primates; Cebidae.
GACACUGUGGGGACGCAGAUGUCUGGUGAUGAGGUCUCAAGAGCUGUUCUGCCCCUUCAGCCAUGCUAAAGUCCACGGACGCUUCUCUCCCUGGAGCCUAAAGUAGUGAUGGGUAGUCUGGGCCCUGGGUGAGGUAAAGGACAUUCCUGAGGCCAGUCUUCUGGGAAUAACUCUCUUCCUUGAUCCUUGGAGGAGUCCAACGCGAUUCUGGAACUCUGUGCUCUGAGAUCAUGCAUCUCCCACCCAUCUGCCCUUCUCCCUCCUGCAUGUAUACAUCUUUAAUUCCCAUUGCCAAGGACUCUGUCCAGAAACUCCUCUAAGACCUUACUUCUUCCAGCCCCAAAUCAUUCAUUUUUCUAUGGUCCAGCCCUACCCCUAUAAGCCAUGAUCUCCAGAGCUUUUCGUCUUCCAGCUGCAGUCUCCACAGUCUUCAGAAGACGAAGGCUCAGGUAGUCACUGUUUCCAAAAACCUCUUUGUUGUAGAAUAAAACGGAGAUACAGA